AGCAGCGUGGCGCAGAGGGAGCGCGCUGGGAGCAUUCCCCAGAGGUCACUCGAUCGAAACGGGUCGCUGCUA
Lasiosphaeria miniovina is the source of this 72-nucleotide non-coding RNA. The record is from the annotation of a RefSeq genome assembly. Lineage: Eukaryota; Fungi; Ascomycota; Sordariomycetes; Sordariales; Lasiosphaeriaceae.